This 1131-nucleotide unclassified non-coding RNA is filed under the name Hevea brasiliensis (rubber tree). The record is from RNAcentral. Lineage: Eukaryota; Viridiplantae; Streptophyta; Magnoliopsida; Malpighiales; Euphorbiaceae.
GCCAACAGUAUACGAAAAUCUCAUCCGGAACACAAAGUCACAAAGGGUUUGGUUCAUAAGUGAAAUCCUAAUCCUUGAAAAGGGGUUAUGAAAGGCCUAUGUGUGUGUAUGUGAAAAAAGUAAAUUAAGAUGAGCAAAUGAAAACUGGUGCAGUCGCCAAUUUAACAACAAGCUUCUAAAUACAAAGCUACACAUACAUGUCUUUCUUUCUCUCUGUAAAUAAAAAUGGAAGAUGUUGGGAACCUAGUAGCACCCGCAAACAGAACUCCUGAUUAAUCAACCAACUCUGGUAACAGGAAUCUUCUUGCGUACAGAUAUCAUCUCAUUCAUUUGUGCAAUCUGAACCAAGAGCUGGCUAAUCUUCUGGUCCUUCUCUUUGAUAAGGUGGAUCAGACGAUUCUCGCUCUCUUUCCGGAUCCAUUGACGCCAUCUCUGCACCCUUGAGUACAGCAGCACCGCCGUGGCCACUACUACACUCACGGACGCAAAUGACCAAAACCCACCUCUUCCACGAGCUCUGCUUGCAAUCCUAAAAAUCCCAGACCUCAAAAUCUCAAAGCGCAACCUCAAACGCUUCCCAAUCUCAUUUCCCGCGCUUGGUUUGGAAAUUGAAUCGGACGGCAACGACAACCCUUCUCCAGCUUCCGUACUACACACAGCAACUGAACUCGCCCGGCUAAGAGUUGGAGAAUCUGGCGGAGGUGUUGGUGACGGUUGUGGGAGUUGAAGGCCCUCGUGGUAGCUUGGAGGGAAAAUAGAGAGGUCGUCUGGAAGAUGGUUGUUGUUUCUAGCAGCAACAAUUUCCAACUGGACUUGCUCCCAUUCGUCCAAAGACUCUGCACCUUCCAUUUUCAUGAUUGGAAUUUGAAGUCUGUAGAAACUAGUCCUCAGUUUAGACUCCUCAGCGGGACUUGCUCUGGAAACUGGAUAACUGAUUUUUCCGUUGAAGAAUUAUCAGAUGUAUCCCAAUAUUCACAAGUUUAGCUGAAGCCAAGAGUCAGUGGUCGGUAUUCUCAAUAAAAAAAUAAAAAAAGAAAUUAAUGGAAGUUCAAGGAUGUGAUGGUCAGGAUGAUAAUAAGUUCAUGGCUUUAUAGGUGAAGAUCUUAGGAGGGAAUCACAUCUUCUGGUUUU